RNAcentral lists this ribosomal RNA (403 nucleotides) under uncultured bacterium. RNAcentral describes it as "bacterial SSU rRNA". It matches the Rfam family "Bacterial small subunit ribosomal RNA", at positions 356 to 773 of the family's 1533-position model. The record is from RNAcentral.
GGGGAAUAUUGGGCAAUGGGCGAAAGCCUGACCCAGCAACGCCGCGUGAAGGAAGAAGGCCUUCGGGUUGUAAACUUCUUUUAUGAGGGACGAAGGAAGUGACGGUACCUCAUGAAUAAGCCACGGCUAACUACGUGCCAGCAGCCGCGGUAAUACGUAGGUGGCAAGCGUUAUCCGGAUUUACUGGGUGUAAAGGGCGCGUAGGCGGGAAGGCAAGUCAGAUGUGAAAUCCAGGGGCUCAACCCCUGAACUGCAUUUGAAACUGCUGUUCUUGAGUGUCGGAGAGGUAGAUGGAAUUCCUAGUGUAGCGGUGAAAUGCGUAGAUAUUAGGAGGAACACCAGUGGCGAAGGCGAUCUACUGGACGAUAACUGACGCUGAGGCGCGAAAGCGUGGGGAGCAAAC